GACGAACCGUGCGAACGUUGUUCGGAAUCACUGGGCUUAAAGGGCGCGUAGGCGGGCCGCCAAGUCCGCGGUGAAAUCCCCCGGCUCAACCGGGGAACUGCCGCGGAUACUGGAGGUCUCGAGGGGGGUAGGGGCAUGCGGAACUGCGGGUGGAGCGGUGAAAUGCGUUGAUAUCCGCAGGAACUCCGGUGGCGAAGGCAGCUCGCUGGGACGUAACUGACGCUGAGACGCGAAAGCGUGGGGAGCAAACAGG
This 253-nucleotide ribosomal RNA is filed under the name uncultured bacterium. RNAcentral describes it as "partial 16S ribosomal RNA". It matches the Rfam family "Bacterial small subunit ribosomal RNA", at positions 524 to 776 of the family's 1533-position model. The record is from RNAcentral.